CAGUCGCCACGGGAAUACGUAGGUGGCGAGCGUUGUCCGGAUUUAUUGGGCGUAAAGGGAGUGUAGGCGGUCUUUUAAGUCUGAUGUGAAAGCCCACGGCUCAACCGUGGAGGGUCAUUGGAAACUGGGAGACUUGAGUGCAGAAGAGGAGAGUGGAAUUCCACGUGUAGCGGUGAAAUGCGUAGAGAUCGGAAAGAACACCAACGGCGAAAGCACUCUGCUGGGCCGACACUGACACUGAGAGACGAAAGCUAGGGGAGCAAAUGGGAUUAGAUACCCCCGUAGUCCCUGUCUCUUAUAC
This 301-nucleotide ribosomal RNA is filed under the name uncultured bacterium. RNAcentral describes it as "partial 16S ribosomal RNA". It matches the Rfam family "Bacterial small subunit ribosomal RNA", at positions 509 to 807 of the family's 1533-position model. The record is from RNAcentral.